This 288-nucleotide long non-coding RNA is filed under the name Mytilus galloprovincialis (Mediterranean mussel). The record is from RNAcentral. Lineage: Eukaryota; Metazoa; Mollusca; Bivalvia; Mytilida; Mytilidae.
CCUCUUCCAGUAGAUAUUUUCUUUCCCCAAAUGUUACACCAUACAAACAGGAAUAAGAAACAUUCAGAUCAUUUUUGGUCAGAUUUUGAAUAAUUAAGGUGUAUCCAUCCUUUAAAACCUUCCCAUCAUAUUUUUUAUUAGGUCGUCCUGUUUUGACAUCUAUAAACAGUGUCUGUUGAUGUGGUGUCCACCUAUCCCAGCCAGCAUCGUCAGGACAGCAGUUUGGAACAUUGCAAAAUAAAGUCACAUUUUGUCCAUAUUCUGUAACUUUUCCAACAACUGUCCAUU